This 29-nucleotide non-coding RNA is filed under the name Rattus norvegicus (Norway rat). Lineage: Eukaryota; Metazoa; Chordata; Mammalia; Rodentia; Muridae. The record is from RNAcentral.
UCCUUAGUCCGAGAGGUACAAGUCCAAGA